Long non-coding RNA from Zonotrichia albicollis (white-throated sparrow), 1664 nucleotides. RefSeq lists it as uncharacterized. Lineage: Eukaryota; Metazoa; Chordata; Aves; Passeriformes; Passerellidae. The record is from RefSeq and is a predicted model, not a curated record.
UUAACGAAGCGAGGGCUGUUAUCACCUCUCCUUAGCCCUUUAAGUGCAGCAGGCUCUUUGGUGUCUCUCGCUGAAUGCCGCUUUGUUAAUUGCGACGGUAAACAGGACACAGCGCUGACCAUCGCACUUACCACAGAACCGCUGGGUUUGGGAAAGGAGCCUGGGUCCAGCGGGAGUCACACAUGAAGGAGGGUUCGUAGAAGUACUCAGCAUUUCCUGGACUUGCUUCUAUCAUUUAAAAUGUAUUGCAUACCUUGAAGUGAAUGUAAUGGCUGGCUUAAUUGGAGAUAACUUCACUGAAGUGGCCGUGGUUACCAUUUAUGUCAGCGGUGAAUGUGCCCUUUAACGCUGUGCCCCUCAGCUUUUUCUGGAGCCUUGGCCAUAUCUGUUCAAGAUCACGUGUUUAUGCCACAUCAGUGCAAACUUGCUGUUUUUCCUACCUCAGAUCAGGUGAUUGGAUAAAGAUCAGCUUGGUCAAAGACAAACAACGAUGAGGACAAGGUACCAUCUCCAGUGCAACUUCUGUGAACUUCUGCAAGAAAGGAAUUGGAGUCCUGGCAGAGUGACCAGAAGUGUAACAUUCAGGAAAGGAAAAGCUUGGAGGAAGCCAGAUGACGCAUGCUGUGAUUGCCCAUGAGACUGGAGAAUGAGAAACCUGGAUUGGCUGGACAGGAUGGUGUCAAUUAAGCAUGUGGGAAGAUAUUUCCGGACACUGUCACAGCAUCUGAGGAACCAUAUUCCAGCUGUUCUCAGACUUUCCCAUUUCUGGAAGCCUGCCCCUCCUUCAGCUCCAACCACAAAUGUCCACACAAUAGAAAUCCAGUCAUUCUCCAAGAGGUCAGUCAAAGACUAACUAAAGAUUACCCCCGAAUGUCUCUGUUAUGUUUUCACUCCCAUCUAAGGACCUUUAGAAUCACAAAGUCAGGCAUGAACUCAUUAUCUCAAAGCAACACACCAACAUUUUUGUGAAUUUACCCUGAUAGAAUUGUGUGUUAAAGUCUUUCCCAAAGUUACUAAGGUCUUUAGCUCAGGCAUGUCCAAACUGAAAAUCAGGAUGUAAAAAAAAAUGCAAAAAAAAAAAAUUAAUAAGUCACAAACCCCCCAAAAUAAAGGAAUUAACUGGUUUUCUGUUCUCUUUAAAACUGAGGCAACUUGCUUGAUGACAAUCAGCAGUCUUGUCACUUUCAGAUGUCACCAGCUAUCUUUUGCUGCUACUUUACUUCAGAUUUGAAGUUCCAUUUGCUCUUUGCUGUUUUUUGGUUGAAAACACCCUUCGCACCAUGGUGUCUAAAUACUUGGGAAAGCAUUUUCAAAAGACCCAAAAAUGUAUGUGGGGUGCUUCAGAUUUUGUUUAAAAAGAAAGAAAAAGGAAUAACCCUUCAGAGUCCUGUCGAAAAUUUGUACAUCUGUAUAUAUUUGAUUCCUAAUGUCUUUAACCUCAACAUAAGUAUAUUGAACUCCACUGGAUCCUAAUUUCCAAUAACUUUUAGUAAGUUAAUAUCCUAGUUCAUUUUUACAAUAUUACAUGUUAAGCUUUAUGUUGAUCACUAGAACACAUGCUAUGUUGCUCAAAUAUGUACAUGUAGAAUGCUUAUGUGUGUACCCACAAAUUAAAAAAAAAAUUGAUAAAAAAUUAAACUGCUAAACCCAAACUGCAUUCAAAU